GCCCCUGUAGCCCAACUGGAAAGAGGCGUCAAGCUUAGACCUUGGAUGAUACUGGUUCAAAUCCAGUCAGGGGUA
This 75-nucleotide transfer RNA is filed under the name Iningainema tapete BLCC-T55. It matches the Rfam family "tRNA". From Rfam's summary of the family: Transfer RNA (tRNA) molecules are approximately 80 nucleotides in length. Their secondary structure includes four short double-helical elements and three loops (D, anti-codon, and T loops). Further hydrogen bonds mediate the characteristic L-shaped molecular structure. tRNAs have two regions of fundamental functional importance: the anti-codon, which is responsible for specific mRNA codon recognition, and the 3' end, to which the tRNAs corresponding amino acid is attached (by aminoacyl-tRNA synthetases). tRNAs cope with the degeneracy of the genetic code in two manners: having more than one tRNA (with a specific anti-codon) for a particular amino acid; and 'wobble' base-pairing, i.e. permitting non-standard base-pairing at the 3rd anti-codon position. Lineage: Bacteria; Bacillati; Cyanobacteriota; Cyanophyceae; Nostocales; Scytonemataceae. The record is from Rfam by way of RNAcentral.